Non-coding RNA from Desulfotomaculum sp. 46_296, 144 nucleotides. The record is from Rfam. Lineage: Bacteria; Bacillati; Bacillota; Clostridia; Eubacteriales; Desulfotomaculaceae.
CUGUUUAAACAAAAUGAGCUAUUGACAGUUGGUGUCGUAAAGACCUAAAGGUGAAGAACCGCCAACCGAGGCCUAAAAUCUUAGUAUGUUUUCUAUUGGAAACGGCAGGCCUCUGGUUAAAUCAGAGGCUUUUUAAUUUGAAAA